CAGCAGCCGCGGUAAUACGUAGGGUGCAAGCGUUAAUCGGAAUUACUGGGCGUAAUGCGUGCGCAGGCGGUUAUAUAGGUCAGAUGUGAAAUCCCCGGGCUCAACCUGGGAACUGCAUUUGAGACUGUAUGGCUAGAGUGUGUCAGAGGGGGGUAGAAUUCCACGUGUAGCAGUGAAAUGCGUAGAUAUGUGGAGGAAUACCGAUGGCGAAAGCGGCUCUCUGGCUUGUAACUGACGCUGAGGCUCGAAAGCGUGGGGAGCAAACAGGAUUAGAUACCCCUGUAGUCCCUGUCUCUUAUAC
This 301-nucleotide ribosomal RNA is filed under the name uncultured bacterium. Its description in RNAcentral is "partial 16S ribosomal RNA". It matches the Rfam family "Bacterial small subunit ribosomal RNA", at positions 509 to 807 of the family's 1533-position model. The record is from RNAcentral.